Lontra canadensis (Northern American river otter) is the source of this 582-nucleotide long non-coding RNA. RefSeq lists it as uncharacterized. The transcript has 3 exons. Lineage: Eukaryota; Metazoa; Chordata; Mammalia; Carnivora; Mustelidae. The record is from RefSeq and is a predicted model, not a curated record.
GGCACCCUGAUUUCCAGCCAGAGCAGAGGAAGACUGCACCGAAGGCAGGCUCACUGCAGACAACUGCAUACCUAGCAGCACGAUUAUGUAGGAAAAUAAGAAGAAGCCAUCAGAUGCCCGGAGUCAGACUGUCAUUCUCUCUCCGGGCUGCACUGAGCAAUCGUCCACUGAUGGCUGGUCGUGUCCCUGCUAGUCGGCAGCUGUCCCCGCAUCCAGAGAGGACUGGCAUUGAAUUAGAUGAGGGAGACAACUGAAGCUCAGAAAGGCUGAGUCCUGCUUACAGCUGCAUGUGAACACACUUUGAUUCUCAGUACCCUGGGGUCCUGUCCACAGUCACAAAGAGCCGGUGGUAGUAAGACACAAGGCUGAAGAUGGCUUCUGCAGCUACAGGAAGGAGACUGAUAAAGGGCCUCCAAUGCCCCCUUGAACUUGGAGUGGGUCACUCUGCGCUCACCCCCAUGGUUGGGAUCUCAGUAAAAAUGGCUUUUCCCCAGUCAUACCUGUCAUGCGUUGAAGUGGAAAACAGCUUGCGGAUUUCUUGUGCCACCCCGAAAUGGGACAACACCAGCAGGGACAUUUCCU